UUUUCCAUGUAUAGUCGUCUGAUUGCUGUUCGUACGGGAUAUAACCACAGCUGGCUCUGGAUCUUUUAUAAUAAUUCUGUCACUAUCAUUCAAGUUAGUUUGUAUGAAAACGACAGAAUUUCAAACCAUAAUCAUGCUAGUAAUAACUUGUUUGGACAUCUUGAACUUGUCAUGGGAGGAUGGCACUUGAGCCUCACAUAGUUGUUCGAUAAUAAUUAGAAUGCUUUCUACCAUCAAUAUAUACAUUUGCCAUUGCAGAAUCACAGGAGCAAUUUUAUCACUGUAGAAGAUUUCAAUUUUCUCUAAAGGCAUGGUAUCAAUACUGUGAGAAUACAUGUAGGCUGGUGGAUAGCUUACUAUCCCAAUCCUCCACCUCCUUUUAUCGGUGGAAGUUUGCAAGCACUCGAUAAUGCUUUUUCGUGGGCACAGUAAGCCUAACUUUCCUAAAAUCAAAUACGUUGCUGUAAAUAGACUAUUCAAGUUCCCUCGAUUCUCAUGCUCCGCCUGUCAAAUACUUUGCUGUAAAUAGACCUUCAUGCUGCACCAGGCUCCCAGAAUGGGAUGGAACACAGUUCUAGUAGAGAUGGGACGACAGGAUAGCCCACAUCAUCUGAUUACAUCUCACAAAGUCUAAAUGCAAUAGAUUUUCUCGCUUCGAGGUAUGCUCAGCAUCCUUCGUUGCUGGGGAUCGAGAUAUUAAUGAGCCAUCUGCUGCCUGGUUCCACUUGACACCCUAACUUCAUAUUAUAAACAAAGAUACAAGAUUGUUAGGAAAUACUCAUCCGCUGCUUAUGUCAUAUUUUGCCAAAGAAUUAGCAAUGCCGAUCCAUUGGAGCUCUACCAGGCUAACAUAGGCGAUACAAAUACCGUAAUAGACUUGCAUUACUACAAUCUAUUCGACGCUUUUUUUGCCAACAUGAGCUCUAUAGAUAACAUUCAGUAUAUAUACAAGAGUAGGGGAACACAGUUACAGUCUCUGAAUGGUGCAAAUGGACCGCUUGUUUUCAUCGAUGAGUCCCUUGUUCUUACGCCAGUAUCUUGAAUUAUUAUUUUUCUUUCUCGGGAAGUUGUGUACAACAUGGCUCAUUCAUUUCCAGAUAAUUGAUAUGUACAAGAAUGCAGGGGAAUGGGUGAACGAGUGGAACGUGAAUGGAUCCCAAACCGAUUACCAAGAUUUUGGACGAGCCCAGUUAGAGGUGUACAAUGUUGCUUCGUUCGGAUGGGCUUACUGGACACUUAAAAAUGACAUGAAACACUGGGAUUUUGAGUGGAACGUACGCAACAACUACCUCCAACUUCAACUAGGUUGUUCAUCAUGCAGGCGAAGUUGGAGUUAUGCGAUGUUUCUUGGAUCGGCAUUCGGCUUCUUCUUCGUCUAUGGUGUGUAGAGUUUGCAAAAUGUCGCAAUCCGGCAUUGUACACUAGCAGCCGAGAAAUGUGGGAUGAAAACUGAAGAAAAUUACCAUACUUCCUUCAAAUUGAGCUGAACUCGACUUUAUUCAUUGUAAGUAUCAUUUUUUUAAUUAAAUUGAAUUCUCUUAUUGGCCACAAGACAGCUCUAUUGACCCACUGAAUUAUUAAAUAAGUUGAAAGUUGAUCGGAAAUGAAACCGA
This is a long non-coding RNA of Salvia splendens (bonfire salvia), 1613 nucleotides long. RefSeq lists it as uncharacterized. The record is from RefSeq and is a predicted model, not a curated record. The transcript has 3 exons. NCBI's taxonomy places the organism in Eukaryota, Viridiplantae, Streptophyta, Magnoliopsida, Lamiales, Lamiaceae.